GAUGAACGCUGGCGGCGUGCCUAACACAUGCAAGUCGAGCGAGGGUUUGCUCAGUAUUGAGUAUUCUAAGACUAGAAUGUUCAAUUCUGAGCAAAACCAAGCGGCGGACGGGUGAGUAACGCGUGGGUAACCUGCCCUAUACACAUGGAUAACAUACUGAAAAGUUUACUAAUACAUGAUAAUAUAUAUUUGUGGCAUCGCAGAUAUAUCAAAGUGUUAGCGGUAUAGGAUGGACCCGCGUCUGAUUAGCUAGUUGGUGAGAUAACUGCCCACCAAGGCGACGAUCAGUAGCCGACCUGAGAGGGUGAUCGGCCACAUUGGAACUGAGACACGGUCCAAACUCCUACGGGAGGCAGCAGUGGGGAAUAUUGCACAAUGGGCGAAAGCCUGAUGCAGCAACGCCGCGUGAACGAUGAAGGUCUUCGGAUCGUAAAGUUCUGUUGCAGGGGAAGAUAAUGAUGGUACCCUGUGAGGAAGCCCCGGCUAACUACGUGCCAGCAGCCGCGGUAAUACGUAGGGGGCUAGCGUUAUCCGGAUUUACUGGGCGUAAAGGGUGCGUAGGUGGUCCUUCAAGUCGGUGGUUAAAGGCUACGGCUCAACCGUAGUAAGCCGCCGAAACUGGAGGACUUGAGUGCAGGAGAGGAAAGUGGAAUUCCCAGUGUAGCGGUGAAAUGCGUAGAUAUUGGGAGGAACACCAGUAGCGAAGGCGGCUUUCUGGACUGCAACUGACACUGAGGCACGAAAGCGUGGGUAGCAAACAGG
Molecule: ribosomal RNA, 762 nt
Filed under: uncultured Peptostreptococcus sp.
Lineage: Bacteria; Bacillati; Bacillota; Clostridia; Peptostreptococcales; Peptostreptococcaceae
Description: bacterial SSU rRNA
Rfam family: Bacterial small subunit ribosomal RNA
Source: RNAcentral